This 374-nucleotide ribosomal RNA is filed under the name Syncephalastrum monosporum var. pluriproliferum. Its description in RNAcentral is "eukaryotic LSU rRNA". It matches the Rfam family "Eukaryotic large subunit ribosomal RNA", at positions 66 to 432 of the family's 3401-position model. Lineage: Eukaryota; Fungi; Mucoromycota; Mucoromycetes; Mucorales; Syncephalastraceae. The record is from RNAcentral.
UAACCAUGAUUGCCCUAGUAACGGCGAGUGAAGAGGCAAAAGCUCAAGUUUGGAAGCUCAAUGGUUUAACCAUUGCGCAUUGUAAACUGAAAACAGGAUCAAUCAGGUACACCGGGUGAUAAGUUCCUUGGAAUAGGACAUCAUGGAGGGUGAGAAUCCCGUCUUUGACCCGAGUCUAGUAUCUUUUGUAUUGGCCUGUUCAAGAGUCAGGUUGUUUGGGAAUGCAGCCUAAAGCUGGAGGUAAAUCCCUCCUGAAGCUAAAUAAUGGCGAGAGACCGAUAGCGAACAAGUACCGUGAGGGAAAGAUGAAAAGAACUCUGAAGAGAGAGUUAAACAGUACGUGAAAUUGCUUAAAGGGAAGCAUAUAAAGCUAG